Molecule: ribosomal RNA, 848 nt
Filed under: Microdochium sp. YG-2022b
Lineage: Eukaryota; Fungi; Ascomycota; Sordariomycetes; Xylariales; Microdochiaceae
Description: partial large subunit ribosomal RNA
Rfam family: Eukaryotic large subunit ribosomal RNA
Source: RNAcentral
GGAGGAAAGAACCCAACAGGGAUUGCCCCAGUAACGGCGAGUGAAGCGGCAACAGCUCAAAUUUGAAAUCUGGCCUUCUGGUCCGAAUUGUAAUUUGUAGAGGAUGACUUUGGUUAGGUACCUUUCGAGUUCCUUGGAACAGGACGCCUUAGAGGGUGAGAGCCCCGUACGAUUGGAUGCCGAGCCUUUGUAAGUCUCCUUCGACGAGUCGAGUAGUUUGGGAAUGCUGCUCUAAAUGGGAGGUAAAUUUCUUCUAAAGCUAAAUACCGGCCAGAGACCGAUAGCGCACAAGUAGAGUGAUCGAAAGAUGAAAAGCACUUUGAAAAGAGGGUUAAAUAGUACGUGAAAUUGUUGAAAGGGAAGGGUUUAUGACCAGACCUUUGCGUUGGGAAUCAUCCGGUGUUCUCACCGGUGCACUUCCCUUCGUUGAGGCCAGCAUCAGUUUUGGUUGGGGGAUAAAGACUUUAGGAAUGUGAUUCCCCCGGGAAUGUUAUAGCCUUUUGUGUAAUACCCUGACCGGGACUGAGGACCGCGCUUCGGCUAGGAUGCUGGCAUAAUGGUCAUCAGCCACCCGUCUUGAAACACGGACCAAGGAGUCGAACAUUUAUGCGAGUGUUUGGGUGUUAAACCCUCACGCGUAAUUAAAGUGAACGGAGGUGAGAGCCCUUACGGGUGCAUCAUCGACCGAUCCUGAUGUCUUCGGAUGGAUUUGAGUAAGAGCAUAACUGUUCGGACCCGAAAGAUGGUGAACUAUGCGUGGAUAGGGUGAAGCCAGAGGAAACUCUGGUGGAGGCUCGCAGCGGUUCUGACGUGCAAAUCGAUCGUCAAAUCUGCGCAUGGGGGCGAAA